RNAcentral lists this unclassified non-coding RNA (255 nucleotides) under Capnodiales sp. RNAcentral describes it as "partial contains 5.8S ribosomal RNA, internal transcribed spacer 2, and large subunit ribosomal RNA". Lineage: Eukaryota; Fungi; Ascomycota; Dothideomycetes; Capnodiales. The record is from RNAcentral.
CGCACAUUGCGCCCUUUGGCAUUCCGAAGGGCAUGCCCGUUCGAGCGUCAUUAAAUCCACUCAAGCCUGGCUUGGUCUUGGGCGCCGGGAGACCUCCCGCGCCCCCAUUUCGCCGGCUGGCCGUCGUUUGACUUAGCGUUGUGACACAUGUCGCUGACGACGAAGACGGACCGCGCCGUGAGAACUCUCUUGAAUGUCCAUCGACAUUCAGUAAAGGUUGACCUCGGAUCGGGUAGGAAUACCCGCUGAACUUAA